AGGACGAACGCUGGCGGCGUGCUUAACACAUGCAAGUCGAGCGAGGCCUUCCCUUCGGGGGAGUGCCCUAGCGGCGAACGGGUGAGUAACACGUGGGCAACCUGCCCCUAGCACUGGGAUAACUCCGGGAAACCGGGGCUAAUACCGGAUAUGACCUUUGAGGGCAUCCUCUUUGGUGUAAAGGAUUCUGGCUAGGGAUGGGCCCGCGGCCUAUCAGCUUGUUGGUGGGGUAAUGGCCUACCAAGGCGACGACGGGUAGCCGGCCUGAGAGGGCGACCGGCCACACUGGGACUGAGACACGGCCCAGACUCCUACGGGAGGCAGCAGUGGGGAAUAUUGCACAAUGGGCGAAAGCCUGAUGCAGCGACGCCGCGUGAGGGAUGACGGCCUUCGGGUUGUAAACCUCUUUCAGUACCGACGAAGCGAAAGUGACGGUAGGUACAGAAGAAGCACCGGCCAACUACGUGCCAGCAGCCGC
This 478-nucleotide ribosomal RNA is filed under the name uncultured bacterium. RNAcentral's name for it is "SSU rRNA". It matches the Rfam family "Bacterial small subunit ribosomal RNA", at positions 26 to 518 of the family's 1533-position model. The record is from RNAcentral.